GCCAGCGUAGCUCAGCCGGUAGAGCUACUGAUUUGUAAUCAGUGGGUCGGGGGUUCGAAUCCCUUCGCUGGCUCCA
RNAcentral lists this transfer RNA (76 nucleotides) under Deltaproteobacteria bacterium. RNAcentral describes it as "tRNA-Thr". It matches the Rfam family "tRNA". From Rfam's summary of the family: Transfer RNA (tRNA) molecules are approximately 80 nucleotides in length. Their secondary structure includes four short double-helical elements and three loops (D, anti-codon, and T loops). Further hydrogen bonds mediate the characteristic L-shaped molecular structure. tRNAs have two regions of fundamental functional importance: the anti-codon, which is responsible for specific mRNA codon recognition, and the 3' end, to which the tRNAs corresponding amino acid is attached (by aminoacyl-tRNA synthetases). tRNAs cope with the degeneracy of the genetic code in two manners: having more than one tRNA (with a specific anti-codon) for a particular amino acid; and 'wobble' base-pairing, i.e. permitting non-standard base-pairing at the 3rd anti-codon position. Lineage: Bacteria; Pseudomonadati; Myxococcota; Myxococcia. RNAcentral also lists the same sequence under 1 other name. The record is from RNAcentral.